RNAcentral lists this non-coding RNA (375 nucleotides) under Nelumbo nucifera (sacred lotus). RNAcentral describes it as "Bacterial large subunit ribosomal RNA". It matches the Rfam family "Bacterial large subunit ribosomal RNA", at positions 1317 to 1688 of the family's 2925-position model. The record is from Rfam by way of RNAcentral. Lineage: Eukaryota; Viridiplantae; Streptophyta; Magnoliopsida; Proteales; Nelumbonaceae.
UAUUGGUGAGAAUCCAAUGCCCCRAAAACCUAAGGGUUCCUCCGCAAGGUUCGUCCACAAAGGGUGAGUUAGGGCCUAAGAUUAGGCCAAAAUGCAUAAUCGAUGGACAACAGGUAAAUAAUCCUAUACUACCCCUUGUUAGUCCCGAGGGAUGGAAGAGGCUAGGUUAGCCCAAAGAUGGUUAUCGAUUCAAGGAUGCAAGGUGACCUUGCUUUUUCAGGGUAAGAAAAUGCCUGGAACCAAUAUCUAAGUACCAAGCACUACGGCGCUGAAGUAACCCAUGCCAUACUCCUAAAAAAAGCUCAAACGACCUUCAAUAAAAGGCUACCUGUACCUAAAACUGACACAAGUGGGUAGGUAGAGAAUACCUAGGGG